AAUUUUGGACAAGGGGGGAAACGCUGAUCCAGCCAUGCCGCGUGUAUGAUGAAGGNCCNNGGGUUNUNAAGUACUUUUGGCAGNNNNNAAAAGGUACCCCCUAAUACGAGGUACUGCUGACGGUAUCUGUAGAAUAAGCACCGGCUAACUACGUGCCAGCAGCCGCGGUAAUACGUAGGGUGCAAGCGUUAAUCGAAAUUACAGGGCGUAAAGCGUGUGUAGGCGGUUCGGAAAGAAAGAUGUGAAAUCCCAGGGCUCAACCUUGGAACUGCAUUUUUAACUGCCGAGCUAGAGUAUGUCAGAGGGGGGUAGAAUUCCACGUGUAGCAGUGAAAUGCGUAGAUAUGUGGAGGAAUACCGAUGGCGAAGGCAGCCCCCUGGGAUAAUACUGACGCUCAGACACGAAAGCGUGGGGAGCAAACAG
This 423-nucleotide ribosomal RNA is filed under the name uncultured bacterium. RNAcentral's name for it is "partial 16S ribosomal RNA". It matches the Rfam family "Bacterial small subunit ribosomal RNA", at positions 360 to 775 of the family's 1533-position model. The record is from RNAcentral.